Molecule: long non-coding RNA, 7587 nt
Organism: Symphalangus syndactylus (siamang)
Lineage: Eukaryota; Metazoa; Chordata; Mammalia; Primates; Hylobatidae
Source: RefSeq, a predicted model, not a curated record
AAAAAAAAAAAAAAAGAGAACCUGCGGCUGGAACAGCAGCGAUCGGCUCUGCAGGGCCCUGUUACCCAGGGCUUCUGCUGUCACUCAGGGCUGAGGGGGCGGGGUAGGAUGCCCUAUCCAAUCGGGGUGCUGGGGCGGGGCCCUGCCAACUGUUUAUCCGCCGGAAGGAGGGCGCCGCCUUGCCAGUCUUCUUAUUCCCUGGCUUCUAGCGGCAACCCCAGAUCGGGAUUCCUUCUUUCCUGCUCUAAGAGGGACCAGGUCCCUCCUCUGUAGCUUUUUUCUCUCUGUUGCCUGCGCCGUGUCCUGGACUGCUCACGGGAGUCCUGCAGGAGACGCCGGAAUAUCUGGAAGCUGAAAAAUGACUAUAGAAAUGAUGUUAGACAAAAAGCAAAUUCGAGCGAUUUUCUUAUUCGAGUUCAAAAUGGGUCGUAAAGCAGCAGACACAACUCGCAAUGUGAACAAUGCGUUUGGCCCAGGAACUGCUAACAAAGGUACAGUACAGGGGCGGUUCAAGAAGUUUUGCAAAGAAGGAUAGGCACAAUGGCUCAGGCCUAUAAUCCCAGUACUUUGGGAGGCUGAGAUGGGAGCAUCACUUGAGGUCAGGAGUUUGAGACCAGCUGGCCAACAUGAUGAAACCUCGUCUCUACUAAAAAUACAAAAAUUAGCCAGUAUGGUGGCACGUGCCUGUAAUCCCAGCUACUUGGGAGGUUAAGGCAAGAGGAUCACUUGAACCUAAGGAGGCAGAGAUUACAGUGAGCCAAGAUCAUGCCACUGCACUUCAGCCUGGGCCACAGAGAGUGAGACUCUCUCAAAAAAAAAAAAAAAAAGCCGGGCGCGGUGGCUCAAGCCUGUAAUCCCAGCACUUUGGGAGGCCGAGGCGGGUGGAUCACGAGGUCAGGAGAUCGAGACCAUCCUGGCUAACACAGCGAAACCCCGUCUCUACUAAAAAAUACAAAAAAUUAGCCGGGCGUGUUGGCGGGCGCCUGUGGUCCCAGCUACUCGGGAGGCUGAGGCAGGAGAAUGGCGUGAACCCAGGAGGUGGAGGUUGUGGUGAGCCGAGAUCGCGCCACUGCACUCCAGCCUGGGGGACAGAGAAAGACUCCGUCUCAAAAAAAAAAAAAAAAAAAAGGCAACGAGAGCCUUGAAGAUGAGGAGCAUAGUGGCCAGCCAUCAGAAGUUACAAUGACCAACUGAGGGCAAUCAUUGCAGCUGAUCCUCUUACAACUACAUGAGAAGUUGCCGAAGAACUCAACAUUCAUCAUCCUACAGUCGUUCGGCAUUUGAAGUAAAUUGGAAAGGUGAAAAAGCUCGAUAAGGGGGUGCCUCAUGAGCUGAGUGAAAAUAAAAAGAAAUCAUUUUGAAGUGUCAUAUUCUCUUAUUCUGUGCGACAACAAACCAUUUCUCCAUCGGAUUGUGAUGCGUGAUGGGUUUUGUUCAACAGCCGGCAAUGACCAGCUCAGUGGUUGAACCAAGAAGAAGCUCCAAAGCACUUCCCAAAGCCAACUUGGACCAGAAAAAGGUCAUGGUCACUGUUUGGCGGUCUGCUGCUGGUAUGAUUCACUACAGCUUUCUGUAUCCGAGUGAAACCAUUACAUCUGAGAAGUAUGCUCAGCAAACCGAUGAAAUGCACUGAAAACUGUAAUGUCUGCAGCUAGCAUCGGUCCACAGAAAGGGCCCAAUUCUUCUCCACUACAGUGCCCAACCACAUGUCGCACAACCAAUGCUUCAAAAGUUGUUCAACAGUUGGGCUAAAAUGCUUGGCCUCAUCCACAGAUUCACAACUGAUUCAAUUGACAUUCAGAUUCACCUGACCUUCUGCCAAUCAACUACCACUUCUUCAAGCAUCUUGACAACUUUUUGCAGGGAAAACACUUCCACAACCAGCAGGAUGCAGAAAAUGCUUUCCAAGAGUUUGUCAAAUCCCGAAGCACAGAUUUUUAGGCUACAGGAAUAAACAAACUUAUUUCUCAUUGGCAAAAAUGUGUUGAUUGUAAUGGUUCUUAUUUUGAUUAAUAGAGAUGUGUUUGAAUUAUAAUGAUGUAAAAUUCACCGUCCAAAACUGCAGUUAUUUUUGCACCAACCUAAUAUUCUUAAGGACAUGUGACAUCCUGGCUCGUCUUGCCUUCCAUCAUGAGUAAGAGCUUCCUGAGCCCUCACCAGAUAGAAAAUUCCGGUGUCAUGCUCCUUGUACAACCUGUGUAACCAUGAGCCACAUAAGCUUCUUUUCAAUAUGAAUUAUCCAGCCUUAGGUAUGCUUUCAUAGAAUCAUAAAACCAACUAAUGCAGCCCUUUUGCCUUCCUAUGUUUCCACCUUGGUUUGUACACAUGUAUAUGCAGUGACAAAGUCUGUGUGUUUGUCAGGGGUGCUAUAUGUACAUGUCCUAUAAAUCUGGAAGGUUUGUGUUUUCUGGCCUGGUUGGCCUAGUAUUACCUUUCUUCUGAGUGUAACAGAAAGGAUGAGAGUAUACACCCUGUCUUGUGGGAUUUGGGGAAAAGCAGUCUUUUAUUAUCAAGAGUGAGGGUAGUUUUGCAUUUUCAUACUUGUCUUGUAGUAGGUUUUUCUUUGUUCUUAGUGCACCUCUUGUCAUAUAAUAUUAUUAUGAUUUUUUGAGAUGGAGUUUUUCUCUUGUUGCCCAGGCUGGAGUGCAAUGGUGCAAUCUUGGCUCACCGCAACUUCCACCUCCCAGGUUCAAGCGAUUCUCCUGCCUCAGCCUCCCGAGUGGCUGGGAUUACAGGCAUGCACCACCAUGCCGGGCUAAUUUUGUAUUUUUAGUAGAGACGGGGUUUCUCAUGUUGGUUAGGCUGGUCUUGAACUCCCGACCUCAGGUGAUCUGCCUGUCUUGGCCUCCCAAAGUGCUGGGAUUACAGGUGUGAGCUACCACACCUGGCCAGAAUAUUCUUUUGUAUUUCUAGUUUAUUGUUUUUAAUCAUGAGAUGUUGAGGUUUGUCACAUGCUUUUUCUGUAUCUACUAGGACAUUGGUUUUUGAUGUUGAUUCUAUUUUGUGUAUUGAAUGAAUUGAUUUUCAGAGAUAAAAGUAAUAUUGCUUUCCUGGAUUAAAAUUCCACUUGAUCAUGAGGUUUAGAUACUGUCACAUAUUGCUGAAUUUUUUUGUAAAUAUGUUGCUGAGGCUAUUUCAGAAUUUAAGGGAGAUAUUCAUGUACAGUAUUAUAGUACAGCCUGACAUCUUGUAUAGCGUAUGGUGUGAUGUGUGUAUAUAUACGUGUAUAUACAUGUACACUUGCAGUGUAUGUAUAUAUGAUUUAGUUACAUAACUUGCACAUUAUAUAUAACUGCCACUUAAAAAUAGUGUUAUAGUAUAUAGCAUGAAAUUAUUAUAAUAUGAAUUUAGUUUUAUCCUCCAUAGUUUAGUGGAUUUCAUUACCAUGUCAGCCUGCAGAAUUAUUCAAAUAUUCCAGUCUUAUCCUUUCAUGGGAAGAGAGGAGAAACUCCCUCUCUUGAUGUUACAGAAAGUGCCACCCCAAAAAAGUCUUCAUAAUCUUUUUUUUUUUUUUUUUUUUGGAGAUGGAGUCUCCCUCUGUCACCCAGGCUGGAGUGCAGUGGUGCAAUCUUGGCUCACUGCAAGCUCUGCCUCCCGGGUUCACACCAUUCUCCUGCCUCAGCCUCUCCGAGUAGCUGGGACUACAGGCACCCACCACCACGCCUGGCUAAUUUUGUUGUAUUUUUAGUAGAGAUGGGUUUUCACUGUGUUAGCCAGGAUGUUCUCGAUCUCCUGACCUCGUGAUCCGCUUGCCUUGGCCUCCCAAAGUGCUGGGAUUACAGACAUGAGCCACAGCACCCAGCCUUUUUUUUUUUUUGAGACAGAGUCUUGCUCUGUUGCCCAGGGGCCUGAUCGCUGCUCACUGCAACCUCUGCCUCCCAGGUUCAAGUGAUUAUCGUGCUUCAGCCUCCUGAGUAGCUGGGAUUACAGGUGCCCAGCACCACGCCCAGCUAAUUUUUGUAUUUUUAGUAGAUUUGGGGUUAUGUUCACCAUGUUCACCAUGGCUGGUCUCCAACACCUGACCUCAAGUGAUCCUCCCACCUCGGCCUCCCAAAGUGCUGGGAUUACAAGUGUGAGCCACUACGCCUGGCGCCAAAAAUCUUAAUAAUCUUGAACUUAGGAAAAAGAUUCUACGACAUGACACCAGGAGCCCUAGGAUCAAAGAACAAGUAUGUCAUUUAGACCACAUCAGAAUUUAAAACUUUUGUGCAUCUGGCCAGGAAUGGUGGCUCACACCUGUAAUCCCAGCACUUUGGGAUGCCUAGGUGGGUGGAUCAUGAGGUCAGGAGUUCAAGACCAGCCUGGCCAACAUGGUGAAACACCAUCUCUACUACAAAUAGAAAAAUUAGCUGAGCAUGGUGUCACAUGCCUGUAAUCCCAGCUACUCAGGAGACUGAGGCAGGAGAAUCGCUUGAACCCAGGAGGUGGAGGUUGUAGUGAGCCGAGAUCACGCCACUGCACUCCAGCCUCGGCAACGGAGCAAGACUCCGUCUAAAAACAGAAACAAAAAACUUUUGUGCUUCAAAAAACACUGUCAAGAAAUUGAAGCAUAUGUGGCCAUGCCACCCUAAACGCAUCUGUUCGCCAUAGCUAAGCGGGAUUGGAGCUGGUUAGUAAAUGGAUGGAGAAUUUCUGGGAAUACUGGGUGCUAUAUGCUUUAAAAAAAAGAAAAAAAAAAGAAGAAGAAGAAGGUGGGGAAUUUGACAAGAGAAUUCCCCAAAUGAGAGAAAACCUUCCAUAUUGAAAAUCUGGUCAUUCCCCUUCAUGACACAGGGUAGAGGCUGUAUUGGUAGUCAGCACUCUGAGGCAUCGUGGCCCAUUACUGCAGGAAAUAAACUGUACCCUGCAGUUCUCUCUGGCAGUGUUGUGCCCACAGUCCCCAGUCUCUCCCAGUUUAUGGGGUGACAACAAAGUGGUCAUCAGGAGAGAAAUCUGACCUUGUGUUUGGAUUUGUGAGUAUAGACACUCUCAGGACACCCUCCUUCCUCCCCAAAGAAAGGCAGCUUUUUAUCACCAACCAUUCCAGACAUAGGAAGCAGGGUCUCAAGUCUAAGUCCUUAUUCCAUGCAAAAGGAGAUUACACUGAAAACUUGUUAAAAAUGUCAAGGAAGGCUUCAUUCAACACAAUUGCAGUAUGUGUCAGGAGAACUGUAGUAUGGGAAAAAGAUUGAACUCAAUCUUGAAUGCAUCAACAAGAGAAUUAUAGCUAAAGGGCAGGGUGAGGGAGAGGAUGGAAUUUGGUUAGGUGUCAAGAGUUGGGAGACUGAUUAAUUAUCAUAGAUGGGGGAAAUGGAACUUGAUUAGAUACCAAGUUUUGAGGGCAUUCUAAGCUCAAAGCCUGGUCAAGAAGAGGGUUCUGAGGAGCCUGACUCAACUUUGGUCAAGGAAGGAGUCCUUGAGAUUCUCCCAGCCUACUUCUUGCUAGGGCUAAUGAUAAAUCCUUAAAUUUCUGGUUUCCUCCCCACAUUCCAGAACACCCAUUUCCCCUCUCUAGUGGACAUUAUCAACUAUGUGUCCCCAAUGAUACAUUUGAAACUGCUGCAAUAUUGUUUAUUUUUUGACAGAGCAAUAAGUGGCUCUGUGUAAGUUUGAGACAGAGUCUCUCUCUGUUGCCGAGGCUGGAGUGCAGUGGCACAAUCUGGGCUCACUGCAACCUCCACCUCCUGGGUUCAAGCUGUUGUCCUGCCUCAGCCUCCUGAGUAGCUGGAUUACCUAUGUAUGCCACCACACUGUGCUAAUUUUUUGUAUUUUUAGUAGAGACAGGGUUUCACCAUGCUGGCCAGGCUGGUCUUGAACUCAUGACUUCAAGUGAUCCACCCGCCUCAGCCUCCCAAAGUGCUGGAAUUUACAGGUGUGAGCCACCGCACCUGACCUCUAUGUAAAUUUUUAAAUGUUGUUUAUAAAUAUUUUUCAUGAGUGGAAAACACUCAAUAACCACUCAACUACAUUGUGUAAAUCCUUGUGCCUAAUGACUCCUGAUGUCAACCAUCUUUCGGGUGCUUACUAGCCAUUUGUAUAUAUCUUGCAGAAAUGUCAUUCAGAUACUUUCCCAUCUUUUAAGGAAUUAGUUUUUUACUUGGUACGAUAAUUCAUUAUAGUUAAGUAUUGUAAGAAAUCUUAAAUGUACCAGCUGAAGGAAUUUUACAUGUACAGUUAAGAUAGUUUGACAGAUCUACUUCUCUAAGAUGAAUAAUACUGUAUUUUUAUUUUUGUGACUGGCUUUUUGCAAUUAGUAUACAUUGCUUAUACCAUGGAACAGGAUGUUAUUUUCUAAGGCUAAAUAAUAUUCCAUUGUGUGUAUAUGCUUACCACAUUUUGGUUAUCCAUUCAGCCAUCAAUGGACAUUGAUGGAUUGAUCCACCUCUUGGCUAUUGUGAACCAUGGUUUUCAAAUAUCUCUUCAAGAUCCAAUUUUCAAUUUAUUUGAAUUGAAUUAAAAUAGACCUGGAAGACCGGGCGCGGUGGUUCACGCCUGUAAUCCCAGCACUUUGGGAGGCCGAGGCGGGCGGAUCAUGAGGUCAGGAGAUUGAGACCAUCCUGGCUAACAUGGUGAAACCCUGUCUCUACUAAAAAUACAAAAAAUUAGCCGGGGGUGGUGGCGGGCGCCUGUAGUCCCAGCUACUCGGGAGGCUGAGGCAGGAGAAUCGCUUGAACCCGGGAGGCGGAGCUUGCAGUGAGCCAAGAUCGUGCCAUUGCACUCCAGCCUGGGCAACAGAGCGAGACUCCUGUCUCAAAAAAAAAAAAAAAAAAAAAGGCCGGGCACGGUGGCUCACGCCUGUAAUCCCAGCACUUUGGGAGGCCGAGGUGGGCGGAUCAUGAGGUCAGGAGAUCGAGACUACGGUGAAAUCCCGUCUCUACUAAAAAUACAACAGGCCAGGCGCGGUGGCUCAAGCCUGUAAUCCCAGCACUUUGGGAGGCCGAGGCGGGCGGAUCACGAGGUCAGGAGAUCGAGACCAUCCUGGCUAACACGGUGAAACCCUGUCUCUACUAAAAAUACAAAAAAUUAGCCGGGCGUGUUGGCGGGCGCCUGUAGUCCCAGCUCCUCGGGAGGCUGAGGCAGGAGAAUGGCCUGAACCCGGGAGGCGGAGCUUGCAGUGAGCCGAGAUCGCGCCACUGCACUCCAGCCUGGGUGACACAGCAAGACUCCGUCUCAAAAAAAAAUACAACAAAUUAGCCGGGCGUAGUGGCGGGCGCCUGUAGUCCCAGCUACUUGGGAGGCUGAGGCAGGAGAAUGGCGUGAACUCGGGAGGCGGAGCUUGCAGUGAGCCGAGAUUGCGCCACUGCGCUCCAGCUUGGGCGACAGAGUGAGACUCCGUCUCAAAAAAAAAAAAAAAAAAAAAAAAAAAAAAAAAAAAGACCUGGAAAUGGGUUGCUGGAAGAUAACAUUUUUUAAAUUAGCUUUUGGGUACCACCAUACUGUUUUCCAUAGAGGUUGAACCAUUUUACAAUCCUUUGGACAGAGCACAUGGGUUCUAGUUUUUCAACAUUCUUUCCAAAACUUUAUAUUUGGGGUGUUUGAAUUUUUUUCUUUGUAGUUGAGUGUAGGAGUUGAUUAUAUUUUCUGAAUAUUAAAACCUUGCCAGAUGCA